UACGUAGGUGACAAGCGUUGUCCGGAUUUACUGGGCGUAAAGAGCGCGCAGGCGGUCGUUCAAGUCGAGUGUGAAAGCCCCCGGCUCAACUGGGGAGGGUCAUUCGAUACUGAUCGACUCGAAGGCAGGAGAGGGAAGUGGAAUUCCCGGUGUAGUGGUGAAAUGCGUAGAUAUCGGGAGGAACACCAGUGGCGAAGGCGGAUCUCUGGGCCUUACCUGACGCUGAGGCGCGAAAGCUAGGGGAGCAAACAGG
Molecule: ribosomal RNA, 253 nt
Filed under: uncultured bacterium
Lineage: Bacteria
Description: partial 16S ribosomal RNA
Rfam family: Bacterial small subunit ribosomal RNA
Source: RNAcentral